UUUUGUUGUUUUCUAAGCCUUUGCUUUGGGAUAUGAUGGGAAAAUCUUACAGGUACACAUGGCAGAGUAAGACAUGAUCAUAGUUGAAAGUGAAGACAAUCUAAUCAGAAAGCUUUAAUAUUUGUCAGCUAACGUUGAGGCUCAAGUCAUGAGUGGUACAUGCAGGAAGGCUGAAAGGGAUCGUAAUUAGUAUUCCUCUCCUUGUUUAUCCUCUCCUACUGAAGAAUCCACACCAACCUCCUCAUAACCCUUCUCAAAAGCAACCAUGUCCUCACAGGCCUCAGAAAAUUCCCCUUCCUCCGUGCCAUCACCCACCUACUAGCGAACAAAGGGACACUUGGCGUUCACCAGGUCAUACUUGUGGUCCAGGCGAGCCCAGGCCUCAGCAAUGGCUGUGGUGUUGCUCAGCAUACACACAGCUCACUGUACUUGGGCCACAUCUCCACCAGGUACCACAGUGGGGAGGCAGGUAAUUAGCACCAACUUUGAAGCCAGUGGAGCAGCAGUCCACAGACUUGAUGCUGCACAGGUCUUGAUGGGGGCAUGGCAGCACUGCACCUUUAGGAACAUGAUGCCACAGCAUGACAGGCAGCAACCCAUGUAUUUACCAUGGUGGAGGUCACAUUUCACCCCCUGGUUGGCUGGCUCAAAGCAUGCAUUGGUGACCUGUUCUAUAGAAAGCUGUUCAUGGUAGGCUUUAUCAGCAGAGAUUACAGGGCAUAUGCAGCCAGAGCAAAGUGGAUGCAGGGUUAGGGCACCAGGUUGGUCUGAAAUUUUGUCAGAUCAACAUUCAGGGCUUCAUCAAAUCAGGGAGAAGCAGUGAUUUAGGAAUUCAAUAGCAAGGUUUCUAGAACAGACACCACAGAUGGACUCAUUGCCAUGAAGGCAAAAUCAGACUGCUCCAUGGUGGGAUGGGUAGUGAAGAUGGAGUUGUAGAGCACAACUACAUCUGUGGACAUCUGGGGGGCUGGGUAAAUGGAGAACUCCAGCUUGGACUUCUUCCCAUAUCAACAGAGAGAGGGAGGUGGACCCAGAACCA
This 1039-nucleotide long non-coding RNA is filed under the name Lynx pardinus (Iberian lynx). Lineage: Eukaryota; Metazoa; Chordata; Mammalia; Carnivora; Felidae. The record is from RNAcentral.